RNAcentral lists this ribosomal RNA (439 nucleotides) under uncultured bacterium. Its description in RNAcentral is "partial 16S ribosomal RNA". It matches the Rfam family "Bacterial small subunit ribosomal RNA", at positions 338 to 795 of the family's 1533-position model. The record is from RNAcentral.
CCUACGGGUGUCAGCAGUGGGGGAUAUUGCACAAUGGGGGGAACCCUGAUGCAGCGACGCCGCGUGAGUGAAGAAGCGCCUCGGCGCGUAAAGCCCUGUCAGCAGGGAAGAAAAUGACGGUACCUGAAGAAGAAGCCCCGGCUAACUAGGUUCCAGCAGCCGCGUAAGACUGAGGGUGCACGCGUUAUCCGGAUUUACUGGGUGUAAAGGGGGCGCAGACGGCGUUGCACGCCAGGAGGGAAAGCCCGGGGCUCAACCCCGGGACUGCUGUUGGCACUGCGUGGCUGGAGUGCAGGAGGGGCAGGCGGAAUUCCUGGUGUAGCGGUGAAAUGCGUAGAUAUCAGGAGGAACACCGGUGGCGAAGGCGGCAUGCUGGACUGCAACUGACGUUGAGGCCCGAAAGCGUGGGGAGCAAACAGGAUUAGAUACCCUAGUAGUC